RNAcentral lists this unclassified non-coding RNA (403 nucleotides) under soil metagenome. RNAcentral's name for it is "partial contains 5.8S ribosomal RNA, internal transcribed spacer 2, and large subunit ribosomal RNA". The stretch from base 1 to 121 matches the Rfam family "5.8S ribosomal RNA", at positions 35 to 154 of the family's 154-position model. The record is from RNAcentral.
GAUGAAGAACGUAGUGAAAUGCGAUAAGUAAUGUGAAUUGCAGAAUUCAGUGAAUCAUCGAAUCUUUGAACGCACCUUGCGCCCUUUGGCUAUUCCGAAGGGCAUGCCUGUUUGAGUAUCAUGAACACCUCAACUCUUUAUGGUUUUCCAUGAAGGGCUUGGACUUUGGGGGUCUUGCUGGCCUUUAGUCAGCUCCUCUCAAACGAAUCAGCUUUCCAGUGUUUGGCAGCGUCACAGGUGUGAUAACUAUCUACGCGUGUGGUUUUCUGCCAGGUAAUCCUCAGUGAUGGGGAUUCGCUGGGGCUUAUAAAUGUCUCUCCUCAGCGAAGACAGCUUUGUGAACGUUUGAUCUCAAAUCAGGUAGGACUACCCGCUGAACUUAAGCAUAUCAAUAAGCGGAGGA